RNAcentral lists this long non-coding RNA (832 nucleotides) under Hordeum vulgare. RNAcentral's name for it is "long non-coding RNA (HVUL_LNC005172)". The record is from RNAcentral. Lineage: Eukaryota; Viridiplantae; Streptophyta; Magnoliopsida; Poales; Poaceae.
GCGGUUCAGCUCGUCCGAGACUGCAGGGGCGGCUUCGGUGGGGAUCUUCGCCAGCGGACCGGGCAUAACCGGACGAGGGGGUCCCGUUCCCGAGGCUGUAGGCGUCGGGCACAGCUCCGGCAGACACGAGAGUGGGCGCCAUGGCUUUCUCCUACUGCUGCAGUAUACACAGAAAGAGGAAAAGAUCUUGAGGAGAGGAAAAGAGACUAGACAAGAGAGGAGGAGAGGGCUCUGCCUGCAGGUUCUUAGGGCGACCGGGUUGCUGCUGCUGCUACUUGGUGCGGGACGCGGGUAAGAAUCAGCUCCGGGCAUGGGGGUGCUCCUGGCCGAGGUAGGUGCUGCAGCUGUUGGAUCGAGGCCCCAUGGGGCGGCUCGGCUGCUCCUGCAGCUAGGCUCGGUCACCUUGCCGCUGCGGCUCGAACACAGCCGGGAGGCCGCGGCUCCGGUUCCUCAGGCUGCUCGGGAGGGAAGCAGGGAGGAACGCAUGCAAGAGGAGCAGGCUGAGGCGAGGUGCGGGGCUGGCUGGGAACCGAUCAAGGAGGGAAGAGGGGAUUGGCUCUGGUUUGGCUCGGCAUGGAUCUGGUGCGUGAUCGGUAGGUGGAGGAAAACAAGGUAGGAGACCAGGUGGUGUGCGGCGGCGGCGCUGAUGGGACAGGGGGGAGAAUUUCUAGGGUUCUGGUCUAAAUGAGCAAGGGUAUUCUAUAUAUAGCUAGUGGGUUAGGUAUAGGGGCAUCUGGACCCUCCGAUUUAUAUCGGAUGGUCGAGAUAAUUAGGAUCGGGAGUGCAAUGGACAAACCAAUGACGGUUUGCGGUAUAACGGGGUUGAUCCGGA